Molecule: non-coding RNA, 72 nt
Organism: Caerostris darwini
Lineage: Eukaryota; Metazoa; Arthropoda; Arachnida; Araneae; Araneidae
Source: the annotation of a GenBank genome assembly
GGUUCUAUUGUGUAAUGGUUAGCACUUUGGGCUUUGAAUUCAACAAUCUGAGUUCAAAAAUCGGUGGAACCU